CYCUGCGSAGCACABGGSGGAUCCCAAGCCCUCUCSCUUUAGGGUCGGCCVAUGGCGAAUUAGCUAGUUGGUGGGGUAAAGGCCUACCAAGCCGACGAUCCGUAGCUGGUCUGAGAGGACGACCAGCCACACUGGGACUGAGACACGGCCCAGACCCCUACGGGAGGCAGCAGUGGGGAAYUUUGGACAAUGGGGGCAACCCUGAUCCAGCAAUGCCSCGUGUGUGAAGAAGGSCHHMGGGUUGUAAAGCACUUUUGUCCGGAAAGAAAUCMYCUGCCCUAAUACGGCGGGGGGAUGACGGUACCGGAAGAAUAAGCACCGGCUAACUACGUGCCAGCAGCCGCGGUAAUACGUAGGGUGCAAGCGUUAAUVGGAAUUACUGGGCGUAAAGCGUGCGCAGGCGGUCCGCUAAGACAGAUGUGAAACCCCCGGGCUUAACCUGGGAACUGCAUUUGUGACUGGCGGGCUAGAGUAUGGCAGAGGGGGGUAGAAUUCCACGUGUAGCAGUGAAAUCCGUAGAGAUGUGGAGGAAUACCGAUGGCGAAGGCAGCCCCCUGGGCCAAUACUGACGCUAAUGCACGAAAGCGUGGGGAGCAAACAGGAUUAGAUACCCUGGUAGUCCACGCCCUAAACGAUGUCAACUAGUUGUUGGGGAUURAUUDMMUUAGUAACGUACUAACGCGUGAAGUUGACCGCCUGGGGAGUACGG
This 709-nucleotide ribosomal RNA is filed under the name Paraburkholderia phenazinium. RNAcentral's name for it is "partial 16S ribosomal RNA". It matches the Rfam family "Bacterial small subunit ribosomal RNA", at positions 190 to 885 of the family's 1533-position model. Lineage: Bacteria; Pseudomonadati; Pseudomonadota; Betaproteobacteria; Burkholderiales; Burkholderiaceae. The record is from RNAcentral.